RNAcentral lists this ribosomal RNA (253 nucleotides) under uncultured bacterium. Its description in RNAcentral is "partial 16S ribosomal RNA". It matches the Rfam family "Bacterial small subunit ribosomal RNA", at positions 524 to 776 of the family's 1533-position model. The record is from RNAcentral.
UACGUAGGUGGCAAGCGUUGUCCGGAUUUACUGGGUGUAAAGGGUGCGCAGGCGGGACUGCAAGUUGGAUGUGAAAUGUCGGGGCUUAACCCCGGAACUGCAUCCAAAACUGUGGAUCUUGAGUGAAGUAGAGGUAAGCGGAAUUCCGAGUGUAGCGGUGAAAUGCGUAGAUAUUCGGAGGAACACCAGUGGCGAAGGCGGCUUACUGGGCUUUAACUGACGCUGAGGCACGAAAGCAUGGGGAGCAAACAGG